RNAcentral lists this ribosomal RNA (645 nucleotides) under Triticum aestivum (bread wheat). RNAcentral describes it as "partial small subunit ribosomal RNA". Lineage: Eukaryota; Viridiplantae; Streptophyta; Magnoliopsida; Poales; Poaceae. The record is from RNAcentral.
AUGGCUCGUGGUGAUCAUCAAAAUGAUGAUGAUGAUUUCAUGGAUCCACCACAGCGUAAUCGGGCAACUGGACGGAGAAAAGAGGGUGAUGAGAAAAAACGUAUUCGCAACAGAGCCUCCCAAGAACGACUGACUGCAUUGAUUGACAAAUUCACCGAUGAUCAGAAGGGAGCUGCUGCUGAGAUGGGUAUGCGGGCUCUGAUGAAUGUCCGAUGCACGAACCUUGUCAACCCUGUAUGCGACUGGCUUGGUGAGAUUUACGACCCUGCCUCCAGGGAAUUCGUGAUUCCGGGACGUGGAAGACUACCGUUGAACAAGGAAUCCAUGUUCUGCACUUUGGGUGUGCCUCGUGGACAUAUCAAAGUCCUGUACGAGGUCAAUAACGAGAUCGAGGAAGCGUUGUUCCCCUGUUUGUUUCCUGGGUUGGAAUCCAUGCCGACCACGUCUGCCCUGGCAGAUUCGCUGCAGGCCAUGAUGAUGCAUGGAGAUGUUUUCAAGAUGAAGCUACUCAUGUACCUCAUCUCAGCUAUUUUCGCGCCGACCACUUCUCUUUGCCCAAGCAACAAAUGCUUCCCCAUCCUGGUGAAUGAAUCAUCUUUACUACUUUAUUUUCCUUCAAUGUUUCGGCUCCGAUGUCAUGUGUAA